Molecule: long non-coding RNA, 1714 nt
Filed under: Canis lupus familiaris (dog)
Lineage: Eukaryota; Metazoa; Chordata; Mammalia; Carnivora; Canidae
Description: lncRNA (ENSCAFG00030025749.1)
Source: RNAcentral
GCCCCGGCCGCGGGGGUGAGAGGCGGGAGGCGGCGUGGCCGCCGCAGCGCCAGGUGAGGCCCGCGAGCCCCGCCCCGCGCCGGGGCCAGAUGGGGAAACUGAGGCCCAACAGAUGGCCGAGCCUGGGGUUAGUUACGUGAGGCACUGAGGAACUGCAAAGAGGAGACCUUUGCAGGAGACUGCGUCUGGAGCCAGUUAGCCCCGCCAAAAGCUUUCAGAAAUUACAAGGCCACAAAAAUGCUUUUUGGCUUGAAGCAUCCAAAUGGGCCCCACCCAUCUUGCUUAGAGUCGGGCCUCCUUCUUCUCACUACUGGACCCUGUGUUGCCAGCCUGGGCUGGACUUGAAAAUGAAAGAGGCCCAGGAGAUGAGAGCCUUUCCUGGGGGUUGGGAAGUAAGUAAAAAAACCACAUUUAAGGGAGUGAGAAAAACUCCCUAAACUGUUCUUAAGAAAUGCUUGAUGAAGAAGAGAACUGGAGACAUAACUUUGUUGUCAACCAUUAGGUUUGAUGUUUGCGUUGUUGAGUGGUGACAUUUUGUGGGUUUUUCAAGGACAAAGCCAAAGUCUUUCCCUUUUAAGGCCUUGUUUCAUCUAGGGCAAAACUCUGAUUAUCAUCCAGAUCAAUUCCUUUUUGCAAACAUCUCAAGUAUCUAAUAUGUACUGAACAUUGGAUAAGCCACUUGGAGUACACAGAUAACUAAGGGAUGUCUACAAUGGUAGGGGAAAUAGGUAAGUAUAAGCCAGAUGAACUAGUUGCAAGGGGUUGAAAACUAGCUGAAGCUAGUAAGGGUGUCUGGCUUCAAACACUGCUGGAUCCAGGAGCUCAGAGAGAUAGUUAUCACAUAAUCACACUAAAGGGGUGACACUCUCAGAUGUGAUCACUUGGGCUGCAGGAUGGGGAAUAGACUGGGACAAGAGUAGAAGCUGGAAGGCCAGUUUCAAAGGGAGGCCACUACAGUGGUCCAGGGAGAAACACAUGGUGGCUUGAGCUAGGUGUGAAGCUAGAAAUAAGUGAAUGGAUAUGGGAAACAGAGAUGAGAAAAAGUGCAAACACUUGGUAGUGGAGGAUGGCAGGUGCAGGGGUAAGGAAUAGGGAAGUACCAAGAGUAAUUUGUAAGUUCCUGACUACCCAUCUGGCUAGCUGGCUGAGAUAGGUUAUUUCUCUUACCUUAGCCAAGAGAGAUGGGUAUAAAAAUUCUGAAUUAGAAAUCACAGUCUUUUCUUUUUCUUCACUGUUGUAAUAUAACUGACAAAUAAAAAUGUAAUAUAUUUAAAACAUACAAUGUGAUGAUUUGAUACAUGGACACAUUGUGAAAGGAUCCCCACUACUGAGUUAAUAAGCACAUUCAUCACCUCAUGUAUUCCCCCCCCCUUUUUUUUUGUGGUGAGAACUCUUAAGUUCUACUCUCUUAGUAAAUUUCAAUUAUACAACAGAGCAUUAUCAAAUAUAGUCACUGUGUCAUAUGUUAAAUCCUCAGACCUGAUUCAUCUCAUAACUGAAAGUUUGUAACUUUUUAGCCAGUGUCUCUAUUUUCCCCACCCCAACCCCUGGCAACCACCAUUUUAUCCAAUAUGGGUUCAACUGUUUUUAAUUAAAAAGAUUUCUUUAGAUUCUGCAUAUUAAGUGAGAUCAUGCAGUACUUGUCUUUGUCUGGAUUCUUUCACUUAGCAGAAUGCUUUCCAGGUUCAUCCAUGUGAUUGUAAAUGGCAGGAUU